UCUAAAACUAUUCUAACCCUAACUCUUAAUCUUUUGAGCUAUCCAAAAUGUUACAGCCGGAUUAAAAGAUUUAGUUUUAUUAUACUUGAUAUAUAAAAUUAUUCUAAAUUUUAAAACGUCACAUUCUUUUAUCCUUUAAACCUUGACGUCUUCAUGAGGCUCAAACACACUCAAAAGCCCCAAAUAAUAUGAGACUCGUCUCGCUAGCUUCAGUCGAUCUUGUGGGAAGCAGCACGCCAUCCACAAUGAUCGUCAACCAAGAAGCUGUGCUUUGUCUAACUGUAACCUUGGCUAAGACGAGAUUCAUAUCACACUUCCGAUUGAUUAUCGACUAUAAUACCAACUGUAAUGUCCCACUUUCUAGAGAAAUUAUCUAUUCUAGAACUGCUUAAACUCUAGUCGGGCUAAAAGGAUUAGUAUUAUUAGAGUUAUAUAUAAGAUUAUUCCGAAUCCUAAAGUGUAACAUAUCAACACAUGAUUUUUAUUAGGGAUAAUUGGCUAUAUACCCCCUCAAAACUUUGAAAAUAUUUAAUUUUAUCUUCUUUUUUUUCUGUUUCAAAUAUACCCCUCAUAUAUUCUUCUGUUAUUCAAAAAUACCCCUACAAUUACCACCCGUUAAGUUAUCUCGGAUUAAAUAUAAGUUAAAUAUCUACCAAAAUUAAAAAAAUAAAAAUACUUCUUUUACCCUUAACUAAGGACAAAUAAAAAAAAUUGAUGAUGGCAGAAUGAUAUAUUUGAAAAGACAAAAAAUUAAAAUAUUUUUUUUACUCCUAACUUCAGAACAAAUAAGAAAAAUUGAUAAUGAUAGGAUGAUAAAUUUAAAAAAGCAAAAUAGUAAUUUUACAGAGAUAAGGACUAUUGUUAACAGUUCCAUAUCAGAAUUAACUCUAAGAGUUUAUGUGAAAUAACUUGAAACGUUAAAAAGAUAUUUUUAACAGAGUGAUAAAUCAGAAAGUCGAAAACAUUUCAACAAAAAUAUAAGCAAUUUGCCCUUUUAUUAAAUAGCUACAGAAAAUGUUAUAUCAAAUGAAAAAAAUAGACCUUUUUUUAAAAAAAAAUAAAGGCUCAAGGUGCUAAAGAAAAUUAUCAGAUAGAUCACACCACGUGUGUAAAUAAAACGAGGACGGAAAUUUAAUCCAUUAAUAACAAAUAGAAAGAGGAGUCGAGGAGCUUAAAAUGGACUUUGUUACCAUAUCACUCAAAGAUGCUUUAAUAGGAAAAUGUAUGGAAAUAGUUUUGUAAGUCACUAAAUAUUCUUGUCACUAAAUAUUCUUGUCAUUUUGUCUAAUUGUAUAUAUGUGGAAGAUACAAUGUCUCCUAAGGACCUCAACUUAAACUCACUUAAAGCCAACAAAUAAACCGUGUUGACAUAGUACAUAAGAAGAAGAAAAUUCUGCUGCUGCUUCUUUUUCUUAUGUACGCAAAAUUUAAAAACAAUCUCCAAAUAAGAAAGAAUGGAAUACAUAUGAAGAAGAAGAAGAAUCAACAGAAUUGGUAGAAAAGAAUAAGCAGUGAAAAGAGUAAAGAAGACAAAGAAGAAGAUAGAGGUAAGAAACUGCUAGAGGAUUUUAAAGUUGCUCUAAACUUACCGAACAUAAGAAAAAG
Molecule: long non-coding RNA, 1605 nt
Filed under: Ananas comosus (pineapple)
Lineage: Eukaryota; Viridiplantae; Streptophyta; Magnoliopsida; Poales; Bromeliaceae
Description: long non-coding RNA (ACOM_LNC020288)
Source: RNAcentral